GGAGGCUGGUUCCAGCCUCACCUUGGCAGGUGCCAGCAGCGACAGUCAUUGACGUCUUCUGAGCUCAGUUUCUGCCGUUUCUGCAUCUGCAAAAUGUUAGCAGUAAUCCCCGCCUGGCUGCCCUGCCCCUAACUGGAAGCCAGGAACACUGGAGUUCCUGAAUGCCCGUGGUGUGGCCGGCCCUGCGCUGGACACCUCGGGAUGAGGAUGUGGACGUGCCCAUGGUCUGCCUUUGGGAUGCUGUGGAAGGCGUCUUCCUCAUUCACGUGCACCGCGGUCUCCCCAGCACACACCUGCCAGUUUGAAUUUCAACUGGAACCUGAGGCCGGAAAAGGACGAGCGUUUCCUGUUGAAGAGAGCGCCGUCUUCUGAGACCCUGUCCUCCGAUCUUUCGGGAAGGUGACUCUGAUCAAGUUGCUGGCCCGUGCCAUGCCCUCUCCGGCUGGUUUCUGUCCUCUGGGAGAGAUGAACGCUCAGCGGGGCCUCCCCUGUCCAGUGCUCUGGCAGAGGAGGGGCCGUCUGUGGCCAGGGAAGAUCUCGGGGAGGGGAUGCUGGCCGGCCUCAG
This is a long non-coding RNA of Choloepus didactylus (southern two-toed sloth), 565 nucleotides long. RefSeq lists it as uncharacterized. NCBI's taxonomy places the organism in Eukaryota, Metazoa, Chordata, Mammalia, Pilosa, Megalonychidae. The record is from RefSeq and is a predicted model, not a curated record. The transcript is spliced from 3 exons.